This 497-nucleotide ribosomal RNA is filed under the name uncultured bacterium. RNAcentral describes it as "partial 16S ribosomal RNA". It matches the Rfam family "Bacterial small subunit ribosomal RNA", at positions 28 to 507 of the family's 1533-position model. The record is from RNAcentral.
GAUGAACGCUGGCGGCGUGCCUAAUACAUGCAAGUCGAGCGAACAGAUAAGGAGCUUGCUCCUUUGACGUUAGCGGCGGACGGGUGAGUAACACGUGGGUAACCUCCCUAUAAGACUGGGAUAACUUCGGGAAACCGGAGCUAAUACCGGAUAACAUUUGGAACCGCAUGGUUCUAAAGUGAAAGAUGGUUUUGCUAUCACUUAUAGAUGGACCCGCGCCGUAUUAGCUAGUUGGUAAGGUAACGGCUUACCAAGGCGACGAUACGUAGCCGACCUGAGAGGGUGAUCGGCCACACGGGAACUGAGACACGGUCCAGGCUCCUACGGGAGGCAGCAGUAGGGAAUCUUCCGCAAUGGGCGAAAGCCUGACGGAGCAACGCCGCGUGAGUGAUGAAGGGUUUCGGCUCGUAAAACUCUGUUAUUAGGGAAGAACAAAUGUGUAAGUAACUGUGCACGUCUUGACGGUACCUAAUCAGAAAGCCACGGCUAACUACGUG